RNAcentral lists this ribosomal RNA (495 nucleotides) under uncultured bacterium. RNAcentral's name for it is "partial 16S ribosomal RNA". It matches the Rfam family "Bacterial small subunit ribosomal RNA", at positions 28 to 507 of the family's 1533-position model. The record is from RNAcentral.
GACGAACGCUGGCGGCGUGCCUAAUACAUGCAAGUAGAACGCUGAAGGAGGAGCUUGCUUCUCUGGAUGAGUUGCGAACGGGUGAGUAACGCGUAGGUAACCUGCCUGGUAGCGGGGGAUAACUAUUGGAAACGAUAGCUAAUACCGCAUAAGAGUAGAUGUUGCAUGACAUUUGCUUAAAAGGUGCAAUUGCAUCACUACCAGAUGGACCUGCGUUGUAUUAGCUAGUUGGUGGGGUAACGGCUUACCAAGGCGACGAUACAUAGCCGACCUGAGAGGGGGAUCGGCCACACUGGGACUGAGACACGGCCCAGACUCCUACGGGAGGCAGCAGUAGGGAAUCUUCGGCAAUGGACGGAAGUCUGACCGAGCAACGCCGCGUGAGUGAAGAAGGUUUUCGGAUCGUAAAGCUCUGUUGUAAGAGAAGAACGAGUGUGAGAGUGGAAAGUUCACACUGUGGCGGUAUCUUACCAGAAAGGGACGGCUAACUACGUG